Molecule: ribosomal RNA, 515 nt
Filed under: uncultured bacterium
Lineage: Bacteria
Description: partial 16S ribosomal RNA
Rfam family: Bacterial small subunit ribosomal RNA
Source: RNAcentral
GAUGAACGCUGGCGGCGUGCCUAAUACAUGCAAGUCGAGCGAAUGGAUUAAGAGCUUGCUCUUAUGAAGUUAGCGGCGGACGGGUGAGUAACACGUGGGUAACCUGCCCAUAAGACUGGGAUAACUCCGGGAAACCGGGGCUAAUACCGGAUAACAUUUUGAACCGCAUGGUUCGAAAUUGAAAGGCGGCUUCGGCUGUCACUUAUGGAUGGACCCGCGCCCCAUUAGCUAGUUGGUGAGGUAACGGCUCACCAAGGCGACGAUGGGUAGCCGGCCUGAGAGGGCGAUCGGCCACACUGGAACUGCGACACGGUCCAGACUCCUACGGGAGGCAGCAGUGAGGAAUCUUGCGCAAUGGGCGAAAGCCUGACGCAGCGACGCCGCGUGGAGGAUGAAGGUCUUCGGAUUGUAAACUCCUGUCGAGUGGGACGAAUGCCGUGAGGGUGAACAAUCCUUGCGGUUGACGGUACCGCUGGAGGAAGCCCCGGCUAACUCCGUGCCAGCCGCCGCAGUAA